This 460-nucleotide ribosomal RNA is filed under the name uncultured bacterium. RNAcentral describes it as "partial 16S ribosomal RNA". It matches the Rfam family "Bacterial small subunit ribosomal RNA", at positions 338 to 795 of the family's 1533-position model. The record is from RNAcentral.
CCUACGGGAGGCAGCAGUGAGGAAUAUUGGUCAAUGGACGAGAGUCUGAACCAGCCAAGUAGCGUGAAGGAUGACUGCCCUAUGGGUUGUAAACUUCUUUUAUAUGGGAAUAAAAUGUUCCACGUGUGGGAUUUUGUAUGUACCAUAUGAAUAAGGAUCGGCUAACUCCGUGCCAGCAGCCGCGGUAAUACGGAGGAUCCGAGCGUUAUCCGGAUUUAGUGGGUUUAAAGGGAGCGUAGGUGGAUUGUUAAGUCAGGUGUGAAAGUUUGCGGCUCAACCGUAAAAUUGCAGUUGAAACUGGCAGUCUUGAGUACAGUAGAGGUGGGCGGAAUGCGUGGUGUAGCGGUGAAAUGCUUAGAUAUCACGAAGAACUCCGAUUGCGAAGGCAGCUCACUGGACUGCAACUGACACUGAGGCUCGAAAGUGUGGGUAUCAAACAGGAUUAGAUACCCGAGUAGUC